CUUGCCUUUUAAUUGAUGGCCAGUAUGAACGGACAAACGAAAUAUAACUGUCUCCGUGCGGCGCAUAAAAAUUUAUCUUCAGGUGAAAAAGCCUGAAUAACCCUAAAAGACAACAAGACCCUGCAGAACCUAACUUAAAUCUGUGCCCCUCCCGCGCCUUUAAAGUUUAGAUGGGGCAUCUAAGGGCCACCAAAACUGCCCUCUUCCCAAAACCACAACACUGACCCAUAACCUAUGAUCAACGACACAGGCUACCUCAGGGAUAACAGACUAAUCUUCCUUAAGAGCCCAAAUCGACAGGAAGGCUUGGCACCUCGAUGUUGGCUUAGGAGCCCCUGGGAGUGCAGCCGCCCCCAAGGUAGGUUUGUUCAACCUUUAAAAUCCUACG
This 388-nucleotide ribosomal RNA is filed under the name Levinsenia materi. RNAcentral's name for it is "partial large subunit ribosomal RNA". It matches the Rfam family "Bacterial large subunit ribosomal RNA", at positions 1968 to 2600 of the family's 2925-position model. The record is from RNAcentral. Lineage: Eukaryota; Metazoa; Annelida; Polychaeta; Paraonidae.